RNAcentral lists this ribosomal RNA (390 nucleotides) under uncultured bacterium. Its description in RNAcentral is "bacterial SSU rRNA". It matches the Rfam family "Bacterial small subunit ribosomal RNA", at positions 28 to 419 of the family's 1533-position model. The record is from RNAcentral.
GACGAACGCUGGCGGCGUGCUUAACACAUGCAAGUCGAGCGGUAAGGCCCUUUCGGGGGUACACGAGCGGCGAACGGGUGAGUAACACGUGGGUGACCUGCCCUUAGCUCUGGGAUAAGCCUGGGAAACUGGGUCUAAUACCGGAUAUGACUCCAUGACGCAUGUUGUGGGGUGGAAAGCCUUGUGCGGCUAGGGAUGGGCCCGCGGCCUAUCAGCUUGUUGGUGGGGUGANGGCCUACCAAGGCGACGACGGGUAGCCGGCCUGAGAGGGCGACCGGCCACACUGGGACUGAGACACGGCCCAGACUCCUACGGGAGGCAGCAGUGGGGAAUCUUGCGCAGUGGGCGAAAGCCUGACGCAGCGACGCCGCAUGAGGGAUGACGGCCUGG